Molecule: long non-coding RNA, 1029 nt
Organism: Triplophysa rosa
Lineage: Eukaryota; Metazoa; Chordata; Actinopteri; Cypriniformes; Nemacheilidae
Exons: 8
Source: RefSeq, a predicted model, not a curated record
AGCAGAUAUGCAACGGGCAGUUUAUCGAUAGCAGCUACGUUGUUCACAACGAUAAUUGUAAAAGCCUUACAUGAUUUGUGUUUUUUUGUAUUCAUAAUUAUUAACCAACGUUUCUUUUAAGAACCAUUUUCUAAGUUGUCGGUUUUGGUUUUGUGUGCUGUUAGUAUGGCAGCAAAAUUGCAAUAAAGCUAGUUCCAGGACCUUGGAAACUUCUUAAGCAUAAGGAUGUUCCAGCACAGUCGGGAUCUGUUGACUGCAGUGUAUUCAUUCUAAUGUAUGCACUGUAUAAGACAUUUGACUGGGAGUUUGACUUCACUCAGCAUGAUAUGGGCAAUAUCAGGCGGUGGUGGGUGAAUCUGCUCUUAACAGAAAUUACACGUGGAAGUUGCCAGAUGCAGUUCUUCAGGAAAUCUUCCUCAAUGUGGUCCUUGAAGAGGGUGAUGAUGAUGCAAUUUUAAAGUUGUCUCUGGUUUGCCCAAAAUUCAGAUGUUUGGUGGGAACAGACAAAUUUCGAAGGAUGGCACAUUUCCGCUGGCUUGACAGUGUUGCAGAAUGGAAAACAAAGUCUAAGACAUUUGUGGAAAACUUUCACAAAAGGUACAAGCUGGACAUCUGCAGACACUGCAAUGAGACACUAUACAUAAAAACAUGAUCACGGCUUCCUUAUUUAAUGACAAAAUGUGAAGAAGAAGAAUUGACAUGCAUGUGCACCGUUAAUAAGUUUUCAUAUGAAUCCUUUAGGUUAUCUUGGAAGAGGAAAACGGGGAGAGAUGCAAGGGUUUUGCAGUGAUUGGUGCCAGAUGCUGGAGGAGUAAUUAACGUACAGUAUUCACAGUUUUAGACUUAAUUUUAAUCAAACAAUUACAUUUUACUUGACAUGCUUGUCACCGCAAAAUAUGUUUUACAAAUAAAGGUCAUUAAUGAGCGUGUUCUUUUUCAUAUCUUGCAUUAUAUAUGAUGUUUAAUUUGAUAAAUAUCAAUACAAACUAUUUUUUCCACUAUAAACAUAUUGUAAUAAAGGUAGGUAAA